UGCCCGAUCGUCUAACGGCAGGACGACUGACUCUGAAUCAGUUAAUCGUGGUUCGAAUCCACGUCGGGCAGCCA
This 74-nucleotide transfer RNA is filed under the name Chthonomonas sp. Its description in RNAcentral is "tRNA-Gln". It matches the Rfam family "tRNA". Rfam says of the family: Transfer RNA (tRNA) molecules are approximately 80 nucleotides in length. Lineage: Bacteria; Bacillati; Armatimonadota; Chthonomonadia; Chthonomonadales; Chthonomonadaceae. The record is from RNAcentral.